RNAcentral lists this ribosomal RNA (413 nucleotides) under uncultured bacterium. RNAcentral describes it as "bacterial SSU rRNA". It matches the Rfam family "Bacterial small subunit ribosomal RNA", at positions 97 to 520 of the family's 1533-position model. The record is from RNAcentral.
GGCGAACGGGUGAGUAACACGUGAGAAACGUGCCCCGUGAGACCGGGACUAACCCAGGGUAAACAUUGGGCUAAUACCGUGAUGCCUUCACCGGAUCGCAUGGUCUGGUGAAGAAAUGGAUUCCGCUCCGGGAUCGUCUCUGCGGCCUAUCAGCUUGUUGGUGAGGUAACGGCUCACCAAGGCUUCGACUGGGUAGCUGGUCUGAGAGGACGAUCAGCCACACUGGGACUGAGACACGGUCCAGACUUCAUACGGGAGGCAGCAGUUAGGAAUCUUGCACAAUGGGGGAAACCCUGAUGCAGCGACGCCGCGUGCGGGACGAAGGCCCUCGGGUCGUAAACCGCUUUCAGCAGGAACGAAAUUGACGGUACCUGCAGAAGAAGCUCCGGCCAACUACGUGCCAGCCGCCGCGG